CACCAAUCAGGGAUAAGAUAGGAGUCAUGUAACAGUUUCAGUUUCCUCAGGCUUCCUUUUCGAUCCCACAUGGACAUUUUCCAGUCGGUGCUGCUAUCUCUCCUGAAGUUACAGCAGAAAAUCUAAUUCUGAGGUCAGAAAGUUUGCCUAUCAACUUGCGGUGGAAUUUAACUUAAAGCAUCCACAAACCUGGGAUGAGAAGAAUAUGGCAGGGCCUGAUUGGUUCAGCUCGUUCAUGAAGCGGAACCCUAGACUUUCACUGAGGAGUCUACAGGCAACUAGCCUUUCAAGGGCCACCAGUUUCAAUCGCACUAAUGUUGCACUCUUCUUCGAUCGACUGGGGGAGCAGCCAAUGGUGGUUGAUAGGGACAGAGAUGAGGAUGUUAAAGUUUGAAUCUGCAUCCAUCCUUCUUUGCUAUGUUGUGGAAAGUCAAAGUAACAUUGUCUGAAGUGAGGGGUGAACAUUAAAUCAGUGAUCAACAUUGGACCAGGUUUACAUUGUACCAUGCAGAACUUCUCAGCCUUGAUCUCUAACAUGAAAGAGCUGUGGGUCAUCGUUACGCUGUUUUGGGCAGCUGUACUCAUGCAGUGCUUUCCAGCCACAGCCAUUCAAGGUGGAAACAGCUCUGCAUGUCUGUUUUUCUGCAUGGACCCAGGAUGUGCCAAUAGCGUGACUGCCAUAUUUUGCAACGAUGAGUUGGUGUCAUUUGACAACAUCGCAGAUUGUAGUCCUGCAGGACCUCCACUGUCCAAUACUGUCUGCCAACAUGAUGGUCGGGCAUUUGUUUCUCUCUAUACAAGCGGUCGAUGUGAUUUUGAAGUGAAAAGCAGUCCUAUGAAGACUGGAAAAUGCAAAGACCACAGCCACAUUUGCGCUUUUUUUAAUGAAAAGAGAGAGACUACACCCUCACCAGUCCCCACAGAGGGUCCGCAAAAUGGUCAUGCAAAACCUGGACACAUUAUCGCUGGAGUUAGUGGUUCAGCACUACUACGAAUUGCAUGUCUGAUUGCAUAUUGCUUAUAUGUCUAAGCAAGAGAGGAAUAAUCAACACAUUUCACAUAGGGCUGAACGAUUAAUUGCAUUUGCGAUAAUAUCGCAAUAUGACAAAACAAGAUUUUCCAACCGCAAAGGCUGCGAUUUGACUGGUCACGUGAUCUGGUCACAGGACUUGCGAGCGAGUCGAGCGAAGUCGAGCAGGCAGGGAAAGAGGUCAACGCUGCGCUUGAACCUGUUGCACAAUGGCCUCAGGCUCGUCAGAAGAGUGCACGGCUGGAAGUUUGGUACCAAAGAGGGGCGGCACGUCAGUUGUGUGGAAUUAUUUUGGCUUUAAAAAGGAAGAUGCUGCGCAACGUCAGGUAUUGUGCAGAACGUGCCUCGCUACUGUUGCUACCUCACGAGGUUCACAAUUGUAAUCACGAUUGAUUUAUUGCUUGUGUUUGUUGAAAAAUACAUGAGAAGAGGACCUUGAAAAAAUAAUCGCAUAUUAAAUCGCAAUUGUAAUAUUGAGGAAAAAAAAUCACAAUUAGAUUCUUUUCCUAAAUCGUUCAGCCCUAGUGUCUUGUGGAUGUCUAUGUACUGUCUUAUGUAUUGUCUAUAUAUGCUUAAAAACAAUUUAAAAAACUGUGUUAAAAAAAAGAAAAGAAAUUGUGUGUGUGUGUGGAAGGGGACUAGAUGUGAAGUGUCAUGAACAUGACAAUGAACAGAGUUGUGCUUUUCUAUGUCAGGGCCCUAUGCUGCAUUGCAUUUGCAAAAGAUCAAAUUGCCCAAAAGUCUGUCAGUCAUUUGUGCACGAUGGGGACGUAGUAUGAUGCCAGCAUGGCUGAAAACUCGCUCCACUGGAGCACUAGAGGCAGGCACUGCCAAGACUCUGGUGGCCACUCGGAAGAGUGAAGGAAGAGACUUCAUGUUCAGUGCCCAGAACAAAACGGCGUUCUGUCCUUCGGCUUUGUCUAGGUAGUGACUUAGCUGUAGUGCUGGAGUGGUCCCAACAUCCUUCUUCUGCCUCUUAUGGUAUGCAGCAAACAGCCCUUCUCCUUGUCCAAGGUCCUCUUGCUCUUCUUCAUCAACCAGAGGCACAGGUUGCUCAGUCUCUGUAGACUCUUGCAGGAUCAUUUCUGGAAAAGCAUUUAACAGCAGCAGAAACAAAAGAGCCCUUAUUACCAUUGGUGUUGGUGAUACAGUGUUAGACUGAAAAAUGCAACUAUUGAUGCUGUCAAUAAGAUCAGACUAUGAGAAAAAAAGCUGCAUUGAAGUCAAUAACAUUUACCUUUAACUUGUUGUGCCACCUCUGAUGUCACGAUUGACCAGUACAUGGUGCUCCACCCACAGCAGAGAAAAGGCUGGAUCCAAGGCGACUGCUUUGAGGUAGACUGGGUCUGAAAAGGGCGCAGUGAUCCCAUCUUGAGUCCCGGCCAUUUUCACGUUAAUGAAGAUCCCAAGAAAUCUUUUGUUCAGGGACGCCUGGAGACUUCUGACCAGGUCGCUCAGGAAACAAAGUUGAGGCUUCAACUUCUCAAGGUGAUGAUUGAGGGACAAGACGGAUGGAACAACUGCACUGAUUGUGACGACCUUCUCUCCCUGUGUCAAAUCAGUUGCUUCUCCAAACGGCUUCAAGAUGUCCACCAACUCCUUCAACAGAUUCCAGUCUCGUGGUGUGAAUCACAGCUCCUUAUGCCCAGCCUUUUCUAGAAUGGCAAAAAGCUUUAGAUUAUCACACUGGAGAACUGCCUUUACUUGCCUCAGUGUUGAGUUCCAUCUUGUGUGGACUGCAGCAGGGAUGCCUUUCUGUUCCCCAAAUUCACUAUCAAACACAUCUUUGAAUGUUGUGCUUGUGUGCAGCAAUGAGCUACAUUUUGAUGACUUGGAAAGAGAAGGACAUGCCACUUCGUUUCUUUCAAACCGUCUCCCACCACCAGCUGAAGAGUAUGCGCAAAACACUGCAGGCGCUGUUUCUUUGCCAUAGCAGCAUCUACCGUUUGCUGUUCUUCCAGGGUUAAGUCACACCAGAGAUCAGGGUCAUCAAGAUGAUCUCCGUCAUCAUCCUCUUGUUCACUGAGGAAGCACACAGUGAAUGCUUUUUGCAUUUUAGCAGCAUUGUCACUAAUAAUGUAGUCCAAUUUAUCUUUGUUGUAUUCAUCGCAUAUUGACUCAAAUUGGUCACAGAUUCGUUCAGCUGUGUGUGAGCCUUUGAAGCAAUUGCAGGCCAAGAGAUUUGGUAUUUAGCUGUAUCCUCUCUUUAGCUGUCUCUUUCUCUAUCCAGUGGACAGUGACACCAAGGAAUCCCCACAUCUUUCGGUCAGACCAAAUGUCCACAGUGACUGAAAUAUGCUCAGUGUUGCUCAAUUGAGUUUUUAAUCUUGAACGUCUCUCCCCAGCGAAGCUCUCUGUUUUUGAUGUCAACGUUCUGCGACACACUGGGCUGCACUUACUGUCAAUUACUGUCAGAAAGUGCAGAAAACUCUUGUGUUCCACAAUAGACGGGAAGGUUGCAAUCAAUAAUCAAGUCGAACAGUGUUGCGUUACUGAUAGCCUUCUGCCGUGGAUGACUCAUGCUGUAAUGUGCUACACGACUGUCCAAGAAUUGUGAGAUUGAAGGCUGUUGUGGUUCAUCUAUGAUGCUUCUACUCAUCUGGUAUUAUUCAAAUCUGUAACAGGUAAGCAUAUAAAACAGAUGUCAGAAAGUCCCUUACAGCCACACAUAAAUUGCAUUUGAAUCUAUCUCCUCAUAUAUCAAUGCUAACAUUGUGUUAAUAUUUAUUUUUGUAUUAUUAUGAAUUGUAUUGUAUACUGUAUGAUUGUGUUUGUUUUAACAUUACAUUUCCAUUGUCAGUGCACACUUACUAUAUUAAUUUAUAUUUUUCCUGCUUUACCUUGCCAUCAAGCAGCCUUUUCCGACAGGAAACUGAAGUAUGCUUGUUAAUUCACUCUCUCCAGCACACCUGAUUCCAUUGGCAAAAACAGCAAUUUUACCUGCAUCACACAGAAACUGCUGGUCUACUGCUGGCUGAAUGAUUAAGUUUAAUUGCUAUUCUAUGCAAGUCUUUUUAGAUUUUGUCAAGUCUAAAGUCGUCAAAUUCAUGACUCGAGUCCAAGUCAUGUGACUCGAGUCCACAACUCUGCCGAGUACUAAGGUGCUAGGAACCAGUUGUCAUAAGAAGUGCGAGGAAACCUAUUGUUUUUGUGCAGAUUAUUAUUAUUUGUAUUAUUGUUCUUGUUAUUGUUAUUAUUUGUCGAACUACAGUAUCUUUCAGAAUGUUCAACUCACCAAAUGAUGCUAGUACUGUAUUACAGUCCUUACAGGGCAUUAUGAAUGUAUGUGUAAAAUAACUUUUUAACUUUUUCACAAUUGAAUAAAUGUUUUGUAUACUUCCAUGUCAUUCCAAAUGUAAAUCAAUAAAUACUGGGGCUACAUUUUGAGGAAGCGACAUUUGUGUAUGAAAUCAUUUUGCUAAA
Eleginops maclovinus (Patagonian blennie) is the source of this 4453-nucleotide long non-coding RNA. RefSeq lists it as uncharacterized. The record is from RefSeq and is a predicted model, not a curated record. The transcript is spliced from 10 exons. Lineage: Eukaryota; Metazoa; Chordata; Actinopteri; Perciformes; Eleginopidae.